GAUCCUGGCUCAGGAUGAACGCUGGCGGCGUGCCUAACACAUGCAAGUCGAACGAAGCACUUAUCUUCGAAUCUUUCGGGAUGAAGAGAUAUUUGACUGAGUGGCGAACGGGUGAGUAACGCGUGGGUAACCUGCCUCAUACAGGGGGAUAACAGUUAGAAAUGACUGCUAAUACCGCAUAAGCGCACGGAAUCGCAUGAUUCAGUGUGAAAGCCGAGACGGU
Molecule: ribosomal RNA, 223 nt
Filed under: uncultured bacterium
Lineage: Bacteria
Description: partial 16S ribosomal RNA
Rfam family: Bacterial small subunit ribosomal RNA
Source: RNAcentral